This 466-nucleotide ribosomal RNA is filed under the name uncultured bacterium. Its description in RNAcentral is "bacterial SSU rRNA". It matches the Rfam family "Bacterial small subunit ribosomal RNA", at positions 329 to 793 of the family's 1533-position model. The record is from RNAcentral.
UACCAGACUCCUACGGGAGGCAGCAGUGAGGAAUAUUGGUCAAUGGGCGAGAGCCUGAACCAGCCAAGUCGCGUGAGGGAAGACGGUCCUAUGGAUUGUAAACCUCUUUUGCCGGGGAGCAAAAAGCGGUACGUGUACCGCAUCGAGAGUACCCGGAGAAAAAGCAUCGGCUAACUCCGUGCCAGCAGCCGCGGUAAUACGGAGGAUGCGAGCGUUAUCCGGAUUUAUUGGGUUUAAAGGGUGCGUAGGCGGACUGGAAAGUCAGCGGUAAAAUCGAGAGGCUCAACCUCUUUCCGCCGUUGAAACUGAUGUUCUUGAGUGGGCGAGAAGUAUGCGGAAUGCGUGGUGUAGCGGUGAAAUGCAUAGAUAUCACGCAGAACUCCGAUUGCGAAGGCAGCAUACCGGCGCCCAACUGACGCUGAAGCACGAAAGCGUGGGUAUCGAACAGGAUUAGAUACCCCCGUAC